UGGGGAAUUGUUCGCAAUGGGCGCAAGCCUGACGACGCAACGCCGCGUGGAGGAUGAAGAAUUUCGGUUCGUAAACUCCUGUCGAGCGGGACGAAAGAUGCGCGGGUUAAUACCCCGCGCAAGUGACGGUACCGCUAAAGGAAGCCCCGGCUAACUCCGUGCCAGCCGCCGCGGUAAUACGAAGGGUGCAAACGUUGCUCGGAAUUAUUGGGCGUAAAGCGCACGUAGGCGGCAUUGCAAGUCGGAUGUGAAAUCCCUCGGCUUAACCAAGGAAGUGCAUCCGAAACUGCCGUGCUUGAGUACUUAAGAGGAUCGCGGAAUUCCCGGUGUAGAGGUGAAAUUCGUAGAUAUCGGGAGGAACACCAGUGGCGAAGGCGGCGAUCUGGGAAGAUACUGACGCUGAGGUGCGAAAGCGUGGGGAGCAAA
RNAcentral lists this ribosomal RNA (426 nucleotides) under uncultured bacterium. RNAcentral's name for it is "bacterial SSU rRNA". It matches the Rfam family "Bacterial small subunit ribosomal RNA", at positions 355 to 772 of the family's 1533-position model. The record is from RNAcentral.